AGGAGGACUUCUUAAUCUUGAUUUUAGUUGCAGGAAAAGUUGUCCCCUAUAUAUUUAAGGCUCAGGCCUGAUCAAAGGUAUCUAGACAUUGAUUGCUACAACUUUUUAUCCCUUGCCACAGCUUGAGAGUUAGUUGGCUUCUAGGAAACCAGAAAUACUACUUCGGCUGGGGAAACUAGAAAAGCAUAUGUGGAUGCAAAGAGGCUGGGGACUUUCUAGAAAGAGUUCUUAUGGAGAAAUACUACUUCGGCUGACAUAUAAAGCAUAUGUUGAGGAUGAAGAGGAUGACAAAGCUGAGGCAGAAUCCACUAACAUUGAUGCUUUAGAUUGUGAAAGAAGAAACAAAGUAUUCUAAAGAAGCACAUAAAGAGUCAUUCAUGGAUGUCUUAGCUACUUUAAUUGUGAGUGAAGAAUUUCGAGGAAUAGUAGCGUCAGAAACCGGAACUACCAAAAUAUUGAAUAAUGCUUCAAGGGUAGAAUCAAGAAUAUCAAGAUCGCUUGGUCUUAAUGAUGAAUCCGCACCCCAAGAUUCAAACAAUAGUUCAGAACAUCCCAAGGCAAACACUUAAAUUGACAGAGGUAACUGCAAGCGAUAAGCUGGAGAGUUUUCGUGCAGUAAAAAAGGUCCUCAAGGGUUAUAUUGCACUUAGGAAUGCUCAAUUUCCUAAUGGAACCAAUGGUAUUUUAUUUUAUUUUUUAAAUUAUGUAUUUCAUUUUAAGUGAAAUGUAUUGACUAUAUUCUUGUAAGAUUGUGUGAUAGGAAGGUACAUGUUCAUUUUCCUACAGGUAAUGCCCUAGACAUUCUUGCUUGAGUUCCACUAUAGAAAAAUGGUCUUGAUUAUCGGCACGGUACAAGCCACGGAAUUGGGUCUUACCUUAAUGUUCAUGAAAGCAAGUAUGUUUUACUACUU
Long non-coding RNA from Ziziphus jujuba (common jujube), 911 nucleotides. RefSeq lists it as uncharacterized. The record is from RefSeq and is a predicted model, not a curated record. The transcript is spliced from 4 exons. Lineage: Eukaryota; Viridiplantae; Streptophyta; Magnoliopsida; Rosales; Rhamnaceae.